Molecule: ribosomal RNA, 467 nt
Filed under: uncultured bacterium
Lineage: Bacteria
Description: partial 16S ribosomal RNA
Rfam family: Bacterial small subunit ribosomal RNA
Source: RNAcentral
GACGAACGCUGGCGGCGUGCUUAACACAUGCAAGUCGAACGGAAAGGCCCUGCUUUUGUGGGGUGCUCGAGUGGCGAACGGGUGAGUAACACGUGAGUAACCUGCCCUUGUCUUUGGGAUAACUUCAGGAAACUGGGGCUCAUACCGGAUAUGAUCUCCUGCUGCAUGGUGGGGGUUGGAAAGUUUCGGCGGUUGGGUAUGUACUCGCGGCUUAUCAGCUUGUUGGUGGGGUAGUGGCUUACCAAGGCUUGGACGGGUAGCCGGCCUGAGAGGGUGACCGGCUACAGUGGGACUGAGAUACGGCCCAGAGGCCUACGGGAGGCAGGAGUGGGGAAUAGUGCACAAUGGGCGGAAGGAUGAUGCAGCAACGCCGCGUGCGGGAUGACGGCCUUCGGGUUGUAAAAAGCUUUCGACUGAGACGAAGCGUGAGUGACGGUAAUGAGUAAAGAAGCACCGGCUAACUACGU